Molecule: ribosomal RNA, 460 nt
Filed under: uncultured bacterium
Lineage: Bacteria
Description: partial 16S ribosomal RNA
Rfam family: Bacterial small subunit ribosomal RNA
Source: RNAcentral
CCUACGGGUGGCAGCAGUGAGGAAUAUUGGUCAAUGGACGAGAGUCUGAACCAGCCACGUAGCGUGAAGGAUGACUGCCCUCUGGGUUGUAAACUCUUUUUAUAAAGGAAUAAAACGACGCAUGUGUGCCUCUUUGCAUGUACUUUAUGAAUAAGGAUCGGCUAACCCCGUGCCAGCAGCCGCGGUAAUACGGAGGAUACGAGCGUUAUCCGGAUUUAUUGGGUUUAAAGGGAGCGUAGAUGGGUUGUUAAGUCAGUUGUGAAAGUUUGCGGCUCAACCGUAAAAUUGCAAUUGAUACUGGCAGUCUUGAGUACAGUUGAGGUAAGCGGAAUUCGUGGUGUAGCGGUGAAAUGCGUAGAUAUCACGAAGAACCCCGAUUGCGAAGGCGGCUUACUAAACUGUGACUGACAUUGAUGCUCGAAAGUGUGGGUAUCAAACAGGAUUAGAUACCCCGGUAGUC